Molecule: long non-coding RNA, 485 nt
Filed under: Helianthus annuus (common sunflower)
Lineage: Eukaryota; Viridiplantae; Streptophyta; Magnoliopsida; Asterales; Asteraceae
Source: RNAcentral
UCAAACACCACCAAAUAUCGAUGUCCCUUUAUAACAAAUCCCUCUUCAGAUAUGUUUGAGAAACACAAUUCCACGCUCGAUAGUGAAACGUAUACUCGAUUAACGGAUCCUUGUAUAGUUUUCUAGCCAAGGUCGUCUUACCAAGCCCAGCCAUUCCCGCAAUCGUUAAAACCUGCAACUUCAUUGUACAAGUUGUGGUAAGCUGAUCAAGUAGUGUUUGUACUUCAUCAUCGAAGCCCUCGACAGUUUCUUCUAACUCUACAUCUGAGCCAUAUCUGAUUUCCAAGAGCUUUUCACAAUUCUCAAGUACCAUGUCAAUCUGAUAUCGAGAGAAAGCUGGGACAACCGAGUCAGCAAAUUCUAACUCCAUAUCAUGUAAUAUAAUCUUCACUUCUUCAUUUUCAUAUCCUAAUCUUUAUAAUAUUUUCUCUUAUCGUACGGAAUUUUCUUAUGAUCCUGGAUCUGCAUGCUGGAGAUUAAUCUCU